This 1746-nucleotide ribosomal RNA is filed under the name Pinus taeda (loblolly pine). Its description in RNAcentral is "SSU rRNA". It matches the Rfam family "Eukaryotic small subunit ribosomal RNA". Lineage: Eukaryota; Viridiplantae; Streptophyta; Pinopsida; Pinales; Pinaceae. The record is from RNAcentral.
CCUGGUUGAUCCUGCCAGCAAUCAUAUGCUUGUCUCAAAGAUUAAGCCAUGCAUGUCUAAGUAUGAACAAAUUCAGACUGUGAAACUGCGGAUGGCUCAUUAAAUCAGUUAUAGUUUUUGUAUGGUACCAUAAUACUUGGAUAACUAUAGUAAUUCUAGAGCUAAUACGUGCACCAAGUCCUGACUCUUUGGAAGGGAUGCAUUUUUUAGAUAAAAGGCUAUCGCAGGUUUGCCCGCUUCUCCGGUGAAUCAUGAUAACUCGACAGAUCACACAACCCUUGUGCUAGCGAUGCUUCAUUUAAAUUUCUGCCCUAUCAACUUUCAAUGGUAGGAUAGAGGCCUACCAUGGUGAUGACAGGUGACAAAGAAUUAGGGUUUUAUUCUAGAGAGGGAGCCUGAGAAACGGCUACCACAUCCAAGGAAGGUAGCAGGCAUGCAAAUUACCCAAUCCUGACAUGGGGAGGUAGUGACAAUAAAUAAAAAUACUGGGUUCAUCGAGUUUGGUAACUGGAAUGAGUACAAUAUAAAUCCCUUAACGAGGAUCCACUGGAGGGGAAGUCUGGUGCUAGUAGCCAUGGUAAUUCCAGCUCCAAUAGCUUAUAUUUAAGUUGUUGCAGUUAAAAAGCUUGUAGUUGGAUCUUGGGUCAUAAAGGUCAGUCUGCCUACUCGGUGUGCACCUGCCCUUCCGUCCCUUUUGUCAGCGGCAUGCUCCUAGCCUUAAUUGGCUGGGUCGCGGCUCCGGCACUGUUACUUUGAAAAAAUUAGAGUUCUCAAAGCAAGCUUAUGCUCUGAAUACAUUAGCAUGGAAUAACGUGAUAGGAGUCUGGUCCUAUUGUGUUGGCCUUCGAGACUGGAGUAAUGAUUAAUAGGGAAAGACGGACCAUUGUGAAAGCAUUUUCCAAGGAUGUUUUCAUUAAUCAAGAAUGAAAGUUGGGAGCUCGAAGACGAUCACAUACCGUCCUAGUAUCAACCAUACACGAUGUUGAACAAGGAUCGGCGGAUGUUGCUCUAAGGACUCUGCCAGCACCUUCUGAGAAAUCAGAGUGUUUGGGUUCCAGGGGGAGUAUGGUUGCAAGGCGGAAAAUUAAAGGAAUUGAUGGAAGGGCACCACGAGUGGAGCCUACGGCUUAAUUUUACUCAACACGGGGAAACUUACCAGGUCUAGACAUAGUAAGGAUUGACAGAUUGAGAGAUCUUUAUUGAUUUUAUGGGUGGUGGUGCAUGGUCGUUCUUAGUUGGUGGAGCGAUUUGUCUGGUUAAUUCCAAUAACGAACGAGACCUCAGCCAGCUAACUAGCUACGUGGAGGUUCCCCUUCGCGGCCAACUUCUUAGAAGGACUAUGGUAGUUUAGGCCAUGGAAGUUUGAGGCAAUAACAGGUUUGUGACGACCUUAGAUGUUCUGGGCCACACACGUGCUACACUGAUGCAGCCAACGAGUUUUUCUUCCUGGUUCGAGAGGAUUGGGAAAUCUUCUCAAAUUGCAUCAUCGUGGGGAUAGACCAUUACAAUUAUUGGUCUUCAACGAAGAAUUCCUAGUAAGCAUGUGUCAUCAACUCGUGUUGACUACGUCCCUGCACUUUGUACACACCGCCUAUUGCUCCUACUAAUUGAAUGAUCUGGUGAAGUGUUCGGAUUGUGUCAACGAUGGUGGUUCACCGCCAUCGACAUCGUGAGAAGUUCAUUGAACCUUAUCAUUUAGAGGAAGGAGAAGUCGUAACAAGGUUACCAUUGGUGAAACUGCAGUAG